CCCGGGCCCGUUUGAUUCCUGUCUCUGCGGGAUAGCGCGAGAGUGGUGUUGCAGAAUGGCCCGGUGAAGAGAAAGAUGCAAAAUACACUGGAUUUAGGUUGUUCACACAAGAUGACUCACAAUAUCCUGAAAAGUUUACAUCGAGUUGAACUCGGAUACAAUUACUGGCCGCUAUUUUCACAAAUUGGAAUCCGUCUUUACAGUUACGAAGAAAUUCCAACUUUUUUAAAAGGCAAUCCAUACAUCACUGAUGGAUAUAGGGCUUACUUGCCAUCAAGUUUGUGUAUCAGAAGCCUGUUUGUUUUGUCCAACGAGAGUGUGAAUAUAUGGAGCCACUUGCUGGGGUUUCUAUUGUUCUUCCUCAUGGGUCUACAUGACACUUGCUUCCUGUUGCCGUCAUCAAACAGCACCCGGGAUGACUACGUCGUUUUUAUUAUUUUUGGCUUCUGUUUCCAGUUCUGCAUGCUCUGCUCAGCAGGAUACCAUCUGUUUUGCUGCCAUCACUCUGAGAAAACCAGCCAGCAGUGGCUUGCCCUCGACUAUGCGGGUGUCUCAGUAGGAAUGUUGGGAUGUUAUGUCCCAGGAGUUUUUUAUGCUUUUUAUUGUGCUGAGCAGUAUUGGAGACAAGUGUACCUGAUAACCGUGCUGGCCAUGAUUUUUGUGAUGUUCCUCACACAAAUCCAUCCGCAGUAUGCCUCUCAACAUUGCCACAAGCUACGCAUUCUGCUCUUCUGCUUCAUUGCCGCCUAUGGAGUAAUCCCCACAAUUCACUGGAUAUUUCAGAAUGGCGGCAUUGGAGAACCAGUUGUUAAGGUGUUUGCACCCAGAGUGGGAAUUAUGUAUCUUCUAGCAAGUUUGGCAUUUCUGUUUUAUUACAGUAAAGUACCUGAGAGGUAUUUUCCUGGUGGAUACUUGAAUUACUUUGGCUGUAGUCACCAGUGGUGGCAUUUCUUGGUAGUUUUAAUGUUCUAUUGGUGGCAUCAGACUGCUGUACAUAUAAUGCACUAUAGACAUGAACAACCAUGUCUAAAAAUAAAGUAAACUUUCAAUUUACAAGUUUUCCAACAUUACCUGAAGAGGACUGCUUUCCAAUUUAGAGAAAUCAGCAAUCUUGACUACAUGACAGCUGAGUCUUCUAACCAACUGCAUGAUUGCCUUCUAAAACUGAACUCGUGCUGUAUGUUUGGAGAUUUGUACUGUGGUAAAUACUGGUACCAUGACACCUACUCAACGAUUCCUCGGACUUGAUGUUGCAUGACGAAGUCUUUCUAAUGAGCCAAAUCUUUGGCCACUUUUCUAACAUUCGGAUUGUGCCAGUAACUAACAGAUAUCACAAACUCAAGGUGCUGUAAAGGCAGCUAUGUUAAAAUGCCUUUUAACAACGUCAAUGCAUGUAUUUGUUAAGUGCAAUUGUAUUUAUUCAAAUGUCUUUAGUGCAUUACAAUGCCUGCGAUGUAAGUUAGUCAACAUUUUAUAGAAAUUAUUUAAUAUGUACUGUAAUAUGUAUGCUGCAAAUUUAAUAUAACCAGAGGACAGAAAAGCAAUUGUAUUGCAUGCAAAAUAACAUGUUUACAAUGCCUAACUCAUGCCCCUCCCAUACAAUAACCUAUGAUUAUAAGUUCAAAUUAUUAAAUCUGAUUAGUUGUGAAGUAAUCAACUAAUUCAGACAAAGGUACACAAGCUGUUAUAAAUCAGAAGACAGCUUCAUAACUUAAAGAUAUAAUAUUUAGAAUGUAAUAACACAUUUUAGGGAGGGCAAACCUAGUAAACUUUAUUUUUUUUAAAUGUGAAAAUCUCAUGUCGAUCUUUAGAUAAUCUACACCUAACAUCAUUGAUGUAAAGCAGUUAUCUGAAAUAUUGCCCUGGACAAUAUGUGGCCACAAACUUAUCAAUCACCCCUGCUGUUGACCACUUCUGGAGAUCCAAGGCGCCGACUUCUACAAAGAAGGGACCCGUAUGCUCCACGACCGCUGGACUAAGUGUGUAAAUGUAGGAGGGGACUAUGUUGAAAAAUAAAUGUGCUAGGUUUUCUAAAAUUGACUCCUUCUACCUUAGAUCACGGACCUAUCAAUCACCCCUUGUAUACCUUAUGGUCUUAGUUCUCUUAAAUCAUCUACCAAUAUUAAUUGUCUGAACUUUACAAAAAAAGACUCCAAUAAACUCAUAACUGCGCAGAGUAAAAGAAAAGGACUACUUUUCCACCUCAAACGACAUUUGAAUAAGUAUAAUUUGAGUGAACACAAUACAGAAAAUUCUAACUACAGCUAUAGACAGAGUAUUAUUCUGCAUGCAUUAAGCAAUCUUUGGAAUGAAUAUUGUGGCAUGUGCAGUUAAUAAAAACUGCUGGUAACUUUAAAUCAUGCUGAUCAUCCAUCUUUGUUACAUUUUACACAACAAGGCAAAUGAUCUCCUUACCAUUUCCCAAACAAAUCAGGAGGUCAACUGUUGACAGCAUAAAGAAAAUUAAACAAAGACUUAUUUUACCUUCAAUAUGAUACACAAAAUCACCUGUACAUCACGAGUACGCACUUGAUAUCACACAAAGAAUGCAAAAGCAACGUUGGCAUUAAUUUUGAAAGAACAAAAAUAUAAAAGAAAGGAUAUAAUGCUAAGGCUUUAUAAGGCACUGGUCAGACUGCAUUCGGUGUACUCUAAGUAGUUUUGGAUCCCUUAUCUAAGAAAGCAUGUGCUUUCAUUGACGAGGAUCUAGAGGAGUUAAUGAGAAUGAAUCUGGGAAUGAAAGGGUUCAUGUACGUAGAAUAUUUGAUGGCUCUCGGCCAGUACUCACUGGGGUAGGGUGGGGUGGGAAUUCUCCUUGAAAUCUAUCCAUUAUUCAAAGAGCUAGAUAGAGUGGAUGUGAAGAUAAUGUUUCCUAUAGUGGAGGAGUCCAGGACCAGAAGGGACAGCCUUAAAAUAGAGAGAUGAUCAUUGAGGAUAUUUAAAGCAGAGGUUGAUAAGCUCUUGAUUAGUAAUAGUGUCAAAGGUUAUGGGAAGAAGGCAGGAAAAUGGGGUUCAGGGAAAUAAUAAAUUAGCUAUGAUGCAAUGGUUGUACAGAAUCAAUGAGCCAAAUAGCCUAUUCCUGCUUUUAUGUCUUAUAUUGUUCCAUUCCAAUAUAUGCAAAGUCCUCUCAGGACUUUUCUCUGUUUUUUAGUAAAGCAUCAUCUAAACUUUACUGAAGUCCUGCUCUUCACGCACCUUACCACAUACAACUCUGUUGUCUUGAGGUACAAUAAAACUGAUAAUUGAGUAUCAACAUUCAUUUUAAACUCAACAAGGCCCCAUUUCCUGUUCUCCCUUUAAAAAUGCAGAACCCAGCAUCCAGGGCCCUAUUUCCCCAGUUCCUUCCAAACCUACCAGAUCCCGGUUUCCUGCAUUCACUUCAAACACACCAGCUCUCUUGAAAACAUAUCCUUAUAUGACACCUAAAGAAAGGGUAAACUGAAAGUGUAUUGGAACGUUAAUAGGGGUAAUAUCAAAAGUCCAGAAACGCUGUAGGCUCAGUGCCAAGCCCCUGGGGUGCAAAAGUUUUGCUAUAUUAUAUAAUAGAUGCAUUUAAGAAGUUCUUGAAAAAGGACAUGAAUAUAUAAAAAAUUUAGUGAAAUGGACCGUGUGUAGGUGGAAGGAAUUAAAAAAGGUACAAUCAGCUUAAUUAGUUUGGCACAACAUCUUGGGCUGAACAGCCUGUUCCAAUGCUGUACUAUCAUGUGUUUGGAAACCAAACUAAAUUGAAGAUUUGUGUUAUAUUAUGAAGUGUUUGUGCUUCUUUGUGCAUC
Hypanus sabinus (Atlantic stingray) is the source of this 3773-nucleotide RNA transcript. It is a transcript of the gene named progestin and adipoQ receptor family member 3-like, with no coding region annotated. Lineage: Eukaryota; Metazoa; Chordata; Chondrichthyes; Myliobatiformes; Dasyatidae. The record is from RefSeq and is a predicted model, not a curated record. The transcript is spliced from 8 exons.